Molecule: ribosomal RNA, 1452 nt
Filed under: metagenome
Description: bacterial SSU rRNA
Rfam family: Bacterial small subunit ribosomal RNA
Source: RNAcentral
AGGAUGAACGCUGGCGGCGUGCCUAUACAUGCAAGUCGAACGAGAACUAUCGGAUCUUCGGAACUGAGAAAUUCUAGUGGCGAACGGGUGAGUAACGCGUUGGUGACCUGCCCCGAAGAGGGGGAUAACGGUUCGAAAGAACCGCUAAUACCCCAUGAGCUCACGAGAGUUAGAGGUCUUGUGAGGAAAGGAGUAAUCCGCUUCGGGAGGGGCCUGCGUCCCAUCAGCUAGUUGGUAGGGUAAAAGCCUACCAAGGCGAUGACGGGUAGGGGACCUGAGAGGGUGACCCCCCACAAUGGAACUGAGACACGGUCCAUACACCUACGGGUGGCAGCAGUAGGGAAUAUUGCUUAAUGGACGAAAGUCUGAAGCAGCAACGCCGCGUGUACGAUGAAGGCCUUCGGGUUGUAAAGUACUUUUUGUAGGGAUGAGGAAGGACAGUACCUGCAGAAUAAGCCUCGGCUAACUACGUGCCAGCAGCCGCGGUAAAACGUAGGAGGCGAGCGUUAUCCGGAUUUACUGGGCGUAAAGCGCGUGUAGGCGGAUUGGUAAGUUAGCUGUGAAAGCUCCUGGCUUAACUAGGAGAUGUCGGUUAAUACUGCCAGUCUAGAGUAUGUGAGAGGGAAGUGGAAUUCCGGGUGUAGUGGUGAAAUGCGUAGAUAUCUGGAGGAACACCAGAGGCGAAGGCGGCUUCCUGGCACAUUACUGACGCUCAGACGCGAAAGCUAGGGGAGCGAACGGGAUUAGAGACCCCGGUAGUCCUAGCUGUAAACGAUGUAGACUUGGCGUUGGUGGGGUCAAACCCAUCAGUGCCGGAGCUAACGCAUUAAGUCUACCGCCUGGGGACUACGGCCGCAAGGUUAAGACUCAAAGGAAUUGACGGGGACCCGCACAAGCAGCGGAGCGUGUGGUUUAGUUCGAUUUACACGAAGAACCUUACCAGGGUUUGACAUGCAAGUGGUAGUGAAGCGAAAGCAGAACGACCCUUCGGGGAGCUUGCACAGGUGCUGCAUGGCUGUCGUCAGCUCGUGUCGUGAGAUGUUCGGUUAAGUCCGCUAACGAGCGCAACCCUCGUCGUGUGUUACAAGUGUCACGCGAGACCGCCGGUCAUAAACCGGAGGAAGUGGGGAUGACGUCAAGUCGGCAUGGCCUUUAUGUCCUGGGCUACACACACGCUACAAUGGCCAGUACAAUUGGUAGCGAAGUCGCGAGGCGGAGCCAAUCCGUAAAAGCUGGCCCCAGUUCAGAUUGUAGGCUGCAACCCGCCUGCAUGAAGAUGGAGUUGCUAGUAACCGCAGGUCAGCAAUACUGCGGUGAAUACGUUCCCGGGUCUUGUACACACCGCCCGUCACGUCAUGGGAGCUGGCAAUGCCUGAAGCCGGUAUUCUAACCCGCAAGGGAGGGAGCCGUCAAAGGCAGGGUCGGUAACUGGGACGAAGUCGGAACAAGGUA